ACUAUAGAAGCUCGGAUGGAGACCAAUUACCGUGGAAGUCUGGAUGGAGACCACUUAUUUUAGAAGUUCGGAUGAAAUUCGCUUACUAUAGAAGCUCGGAUGAAAUUAGGAAGGCGAUCGACCACUGUAGAAACUUGGAUGGAGUCUGGUACUGUAGAAGUCCUGCUGCUGGAAAAGUCCGAACAUUGACGAAGUCUGAAAGAAGCUCGGAGUAAAGUUGAUCGUGACAGGAGGAAGUCUGGAAG
This 245-nucleotide long non-coding RNA is filed under the name Elaeis guineensis (African oil palm). RNAcentral's name for it is "long non-coding RNA (EGUI_LNC056908)". Lineage: Eukaryota; Viridiplantae; Streptophyta; Magnoliopsida; Arecales; Arecaceae. The record is from RNAcentral.